Molecule: ribosomal RNA, 253 nt
Filed under: uncultured bacterium
Lineage: Bacteria
Description: partial 16S ribosomal RNA
Rfam family: Bacterial small subunit ribosomal RNA
Source: RNAcentral
UACGUAGGGUGCGAGCGUUGUCCGGAAUUACUGGGCGUAAAGAGCUCGUAGGUGGUUUGUCGCGUUGUCCGUGAAAACUCACAACUCAAUUGUGGGCGUGCGGGCGAUACGGGCAGACUGGAGUACUGCAGGGGAGACUGGAAUUCCUGGUGUAGCGGUGGAAUGCGUAGAUAUCUGGAGGAACACCGGUGGCGAAGGCGGCAUCCUGGACCGGCAUUGACGCUGAGGCGCGAAAGCCAGGGGAGCAAACGGG